AAUAAACCAAUUUUUCACUUUUUACCUAUAAUUUUUGACUCUUCGUCUUAUUUAAAUUUUUUUACGAUUGAUAUUUUUGUUUUUAUUAGAUGAUAAAUCAUAAAUAGUACUUUAUGUGUGACUAAUUUUUUUCUAAUUUUCUGAAAAAAAUUUAAAUAAGACGAAUAGUCAAACGUUGGACACAAAAAACCGGAG
This 195-nucleotide microRNA precursor is filed under the name Oryza brachyantha (malo sina). Its description in RNAcentral is "MIR812 microRNA precursor family". It matches the Rfam family "MIR812 microRNA precursor family". Lineage: Eukaryota; Viridiplantae; Streptophyta; Magnoliopsida; Poales; Poaceae. The record is from Rfam by way of RNAcentral.